AGAACGAACGCUGGCGGCAUGCCUAACACAUGCAAGUCGAACGAGACCUUCGGGUCUAGUGGCGCACGGGUGCGUAACGCGUGGGAAUCUGCCCUUGGGUUCGGGAUAACAGUUGGAAACGACUGCUAAUACCGGAUAAUGACUUCGGUCCAAAGAUUUAUUGCCCAGGGAUGAGCCCGCGUAGGAUUAGCUAGUUGGUGAGGUAAAGGCUCACCAAGGCGACGAUCCUUAGCUGGUCUGAGAGGAUGAUCAGCCACACUGGGACUGAGACACGGCCCAGACUCCUACGGGAGGCAGCAGUGGGGAAUAUUGGACAAUGGGCGAAAGCCUGAUCCAGCAAUGCCGCGUGAGUGGAUAGAAGGCCUUAAGGGUUGUAAAGCUUAUUUACCCGGGAUAGGAUAAUGACAGUACCGGAAGAAGUAACGACCCCGGCUAACCGUCCGUGACCCGAGCACGGCCGAC
This 462-nucleotide ribosomal RNA is filed under the name uncultured soil bacterium. Its description in RNAcentral is "bacterial SSU rRNA". It matches the Rfam family "Bacterial small subunit ribosomal RNA", at positions 26 to 524 of the family's 1533-position model. The record is from RNAcentral.